UACGUAGGGUGCGAGCGUUAAUCGGAAUUACUGGGCGUAAAGCGUGCGCAGGCGGUUGUGCAAGACAGAUGUGAAAUCCCCGGGCUUAACCUGGGAAUGGCAUUUGUGACUGCACGGCUAGAGUGUGUCAGAGGGGGGUAGAAUUCCACGUGUAGCAGUGAAAUGCGUAGAUAUGUGGAGGAAUACCGAUGGCGAAGGCAGCCCCCUGGGAUAACACUGACGCUCAUGCACGAAAGCGUGGGGAGCAAACAGG
RNAcentral lists this ribosomal RNA (253 nucleotides) under uncultured bacterium. RNAcentral describes it as "partial 16S ribosomal RNA". It matches the Rfam family "Bacterial small subunit ribosomal RNA", at positions 524 to 776 of the family's 1533-position model. The record is from RNAcentral.